UACGUAGGCAGCAAGCGUUGUUCGGAAUUACUGGGCGUAAAGAGUGCGUAGGCGGUUGGCUAAGUUUGGUGUGAAAUCCCCGGGCUUAACCUGGGAAUGGCGAUGGAGACUGCACGGCUAGAGUGCGUCAGAGGGGGGUAGAAUUCCACGUGUAGCAGUGAAAUGCGUAGAGAUGUGGAGGAAUACCGAUGGCGAAGGCAGCCCCCUGGGAUGACACUGACGCUCAUGCACGAAAGCGUGGGGAGCAAACAGG
RNAcentral lists this ribosomal RNA (253 nucleotides) under uncultured prokaryote. Its description in RNAcentral is "partial 16S ribosomal RNA". It matches the Rfam family "Bacterial small subunit ribosomal RNA", at positions 524 to 776 of the family's 1533-position model. The record is from RNAcentral.